Molecule: unclassified non-coding RNA, 1348 nt
Filed under: uncultured Neocallimastigales
Lineage: Eukaryota; Fungi; Neocallimastigomycota; Neocallimastigomycetes; Neocallimastigales
Description: partial contains small subunit ribosomal RNA, internal transcribed spacer 1, 5.8S ribosomal RNA, internal transcribed spacer 2, and large subunit ribosomal RNA
Rfam family: Eukaryotic large subunit ribosomal RNA (bases 635-1348)
Source: RNAcentral
GGAAGUAAAAGUCGUAACAAGGUUUCGUAGGUGAACUGCGAAGGAUCAUUAAUAAAUUUUCCAACAUGGUUUUGGAAAAACAAUAAUCAUCCUACCUUUGUGAAUUUGUUUGUUUGAAAUAAUUUUUAUUGAAAAAAAUUAUUUGAAUGUCUUUCCUGUUUUUGUUGAAAGUUUUGACAGAACAGGGAUAGAUUUCAAUAUAAUUUUUUUUUAAAUAAAAAGACCUUUUUUAAAUUAAAACUUUUUGUAUUCAUUUGUCUAAAAAAAUUUUAUAAAUAAUAUAAAAACAACUUUUGACAAUGGAUCUCUUGUUCUCGCAACGAUGAAGAACGCAGCAAAUGCGAUAAGUAGUGUGAAUUGCAGAAUACGUGAAUCAUCGAAUCUUCGAACGCAUAUUGCACUUUUUAGUUUACUAAAAAGUAUGUCUGUUGAGUAUCAGUAAAUAUUCUCAUAAAAAAUUUUUUUUUUUUAUGGUUUGAGUGUUUUACAACGAUAACAAGUUGUUUCACUUUAAUUUUUUUAAUUUGAAAUUAUUUUUCAAUUUUAAAUUGGAUAAAAUUUCCUUAAAAAGGAAUAACCUUGACAAUUUAAAAAAUAAAUAAUUUUCAAUUCCAAAGGAAAAUUUAAAUCAACCUGAUCUCAAAUCAGAUAAGAGUACCGCUGAACUUAAGCAUAUCAAUAAGCGGAGGAAAAGAAACUAACAAGAUUCCCUAGUAACGGCGAGUGAAGCGGAAGAGCUCAAAUUUGAAUCUUAAAGGUUCCUUUACGAAUUGUAGUUAAAGAAGUGUUUCUGUUGGAGUUCGGUAAAAGUUCUUUGGAAUAGACAUCAUAGAGGUGAGAAUCCGUAUUGACCGUUACUUUCCAGCUGUGUGAUACACUUUCAAAGAGUCGAUUGUUUGGGAAUGCAGUCAAAAUGGUGGUAAAUUUCAUCUAAAGCUAAUAUUGGCGAGAGACGAUAGCGAACAAGUACGUGAGGGAAAGAUGAAAAGAACCUUGAAAAGAGAGUUAAACAGUACGUGAAUUGUCAAAGGAAGCGUUGACACCAGUGUCGUUAGUUGAAAAUCAAUUCAAUAGUUUUUGAUUCUAAGUAGUAUUGACUUCAUCAGCUUGCUGCUUUCUUCUCAGAAAUUAUUGAAUGCACUUUUCAGUUAACAAGUCAACAUCAAUUUCUUUUGUUGUAAAGGGUAAGAGAAGUGCUUGCGCUUCGGCUCAAGUGUUUAUAGCCUUUAUCUCUGCAAUCGGAGAGAUUGAGUCUGCAGCGUAGAUCUUCGGGUUAGAUACAUUGGUGCUAAGCUAUAGCCUUGUAUAGACAACUUGUUGACUAUGCUCAGUCAUGUAGCUUACUCGC